This 520-nucleotide unclassified non-coding RNA is filed under the name uncultured Glomus. RNAcentral describes it as "SSU rRNA". It matches the Rfam family "Eukaryotic small subunit ribosomal RNA", at positions 569 to 1089 of the family's 1831-position model. Lineage: Eukaryota; Fungi; Glomeromycota; Glomeromycetes; Glomerales; Glomeraceae. The record is from RNAcentral.
AGCAGCCGCGGUAAUUCCAGCUCCAAUAGCGUAUAUUAAAGUUGUUGCAGUUAAAAAGCUCGUAGUUGAAUUUCGGGGUUAGUAGGUUGGUCAUGCCUCUGGUAUGUACUGGUCUCACUGAUUCCUCCUUCCUGAUGAGCCGUAAUGCCAUUAAUUUGGUGUUGCGGGGAAUUUGGACUGUUACUUUGAAAAAAUUAGAGUGUUUAAAGCAAGCUAACGCUUGAAUACAUUAGCAUGGAAUAAUGAAAUAGGACGUUCGAUCCUAUUUUGUUGGUUUCUAGGAUUGACGUAAUGAUUAAUAGGGAUAGUUGGGGGCAUUAGUAUUCAAUUGUCAGAGGUGAAAUUCUUGGAUUUAUUGAAGACUAACUACUGCGAAAGCAUUUGCCAAGGAUGUUUUCAUUAAUCAAGAACGAAAGUUAGGGGAUCGAAGACGAUCAGAUACCGUCGUAGUCUUAACCAUAAACUAUGCCGACUAGGGAUCGGAUGAUGUUAAUUUUUUCAAUGGCUCAUUCGGCGCCUU